CCUGGAUCAAAUGACCAGAAAAAUAUUGAUGCCUGGCUUUGGGUGGAGAGUGAAAUUUUAAGUCUCACUUGCUAUUAAAAUCAAAGAAUAAAUUUGUAGAUGGAAAGUUACCCCUGCCUUCCACAGCCUUCUUGGUAACCUUUCAAUUACUAUGACAAUUGUAAACAAACAACUUGAAACAAAUGGUCAAAUCAACAAGACCAGGUUCAUGACCUCUACAGAACUGCAGCAGCUCCCUCUGUUCUGAAAACCACAUGGGGGAAGAUGUUUAAGCUAACUUCAGUGAGAAUGUUCUCUGCUCUUGAGAAAGUCUGUUCUGGAGAAGAUUCAUAUUGGCUUUCAAGACAUUUACAGUGAGUUUUUGGCUGAAAUGACUAAUGUUGAAGUCACGUAAGGAAUGAAUUGUGGAAAGCCUUAUGUUGCUGAUACCUCUGCAAACAUAGUUUUCACAGGUAUGGAGUUACAACACAACCUCAUCGGACUGGAGUGGAAGGAGAAUACGAUGCAUAUCUGCAGGAAGAUGGCAUAAAAGUUUUAAAUUUCCACAACAAUCAGCUCUUAAAAACUUCCUGAAAACUUUGAAGGAAUAUCAGUAUACUGUAGCGCCCUCCUACAAUUCAUGCGGCAGUCCUUCCUGGAUGGAAACAAUUCCUUACUUCCAGGAACUAUGAUUCUGCUUGAACAAAAUUGCUUUUAGUGAAUGAUAGAUGUGAAUCUCCAACUCCUCCUUCAAGCACCUGACAGACAGAACUGCAUAUCAAACCAAGUUAAGCUGAUGAUUUAAACAUUUUGCCUAUCUGGAACUUUAAUUAUCUCAUCAUCUCCUUAUGUUUCAUUAUUAUGAAGCUGCAAGAAAUGACAACAACUAGAGAAGAGUGGCUAUAUAAACCAAAUACAACUUCAAGAACCAAAUUUAAAUGGAUGUAUUAUAUAUCCUAACACUGAAACAAAGCCAGACUAUUUUUUUAUGGCACUGAUUAUAAAUUAAAGUAGACUGAAAAUUUCAGGAGUCAGAUAACCUUUUUCCAUAUGCUUAAGUAAGGGUGUUUACUCCAAAACCAAAGUUUGUAUCCAAAAUUUAAAUGAUGCCACUGGCAUUCAGUAUGAAUUGAGCUGGAGUAGGUUUCAACACAGAAGGAGGAUUUGAAAAGCAGUCAUUUUAUUUUCCUUUCUCUUUUCUUCAUUCUUUAUGAAUUCAGCCAAGAUGUAUUGUAUGUAUCUUUUUCAGUGGCACCCUUUGUUUUGUGGAAAACAGUGAUUUUAGAAAUAUACAAAAAAUAAAUACGUUUAAAAGUUCAGAAAGACAGUUAGUGAUGAUAUUUCUGGCAUGGAGGGAGAAACAAUAUUUUUGUAUCAGACUGCAGUGAAUUAGAGUAAUUAACAUUUUGAGUAAUCUGAUUAUCUUUAUAACUGUACUGAUUCUCAUUAAGAAACAAAAACUAUUCCUGCUUCAAUAUUCUCUACUUCUUGUAUGCUAAGUGAAAAUAAUUUCAUGGGGAGAGACACAGUUCACAUUAAUAUAAAUGUCAGAAACGGUUUAAGUGUUCUGUGCCCUUAAAAUCCUGCAGAAAGUCUUUAGAAGGUUAAAAACAAACAAACCAACCAAAAACCCCUACUGCUACCUAAAUUGUAUGAUAUGGUGAUUUAGUCCUGAUGUACCAAACUCUGCAAAAGUUAUAUAAGAAAACUCACAGUGAAUUUCCAGAAGAUGCCCAAGCAACAAAUAUCCUUCCCCAAGAAUGCAAAAUUGGACCCUUGAGUUUUAAAAAAUCUCUUUGCUUUAGGUUUCUAACAAGAGUAUUCAAAGAGUCAAUGACGGCAUUAAUUUCAUUUUCCAUCCUGAGUUCAGAUUUUAGAUGCUUUUAUGUCU
Gallus gallus (chicken) is the source of this 1870-nucleotide long non-coding RNA. NCBI's taxonomy places the organism in Eukaryota, Metazoa, Chordata, Aves, Galliformes, Phasianidae. The record is from Ensembl.